RNAcentral lists this ribosomal RNA (460 nucleotides) under uncultured bacterium. Its description in RNAcentral is "partial 16S ribosomal RNA". It matches the Rfam family "Bacterial small subunit ribosomal RNA", at positions 338 to 795 of the family's 1533-position model. The record is from RNAcentral.
CCUACGGGGUGCUGCAGUGAGGAAUAUUGGUCAAUGGACGAGAGUCUGAACCAGCCAAGUAGCGUGAAGGAUGAUUGCCCUAUGGGUUGUAAACUUCUUUUAUAAAGGAAUAAAACGAGGCACGUGUGCCUUUUUGCAUGUACUUUAUGAAUAAGGAUCGGCUAACUCCGUGCCAGCAGCAGCGGUAAUACGGAGGAUCCGAGCGUUAUCCGGAUUUAUUGGGUUUAAAGGGAGCGUAGAUGGGUUGUUAAGUCAGUUGUGAAUGUUUGCGGCUCAACCGUAAAAUUGCAAUUGAUACUGGCAGUCUUGAGUACAGUUGAGGUAGGCGGAAUUCGUGGUGUAGCGGUGAAAUGCUUAGAUAAAACGAAGAACCCAGAUUGCGAAGGCAGCUUAAUAAACUGUGACUGACAUUGAUGCUCGAGAGUGUGAGUAUCAAACAGGAGUAGAUACCCGGGUAGUC